CAGAGGUCACUGCUACYCGGSGGWUCGAUUAAGCCAUGCGAGUCGAGAGGGUUCAGACCCUCGGCGGACUGCUCAGUAACACGUGGAUAACCUGCCCUAAGGUGGAGCAUAACCCCGGGAAACUGGGGAUAAUACUCCAUAGGUUAGAGAUACUGGAAUGUUCUUUAAUCGAAAGUUCCGGCGCCUUAGGAUGGAUCUGCGGCCGAUUAGGUAGUUGUUGGGGUAACGGCCCAACAAGCCUGUAAUCGGUACGGGUUGUGGGAGCAAGAGCCCGGAGAUGGAAUCUGAGACACGAUUCCAGGCCCUACGGGGCGCAGCAGGCGCGAAAACUUUACAAUGCAGGAAACUGUGAUAAGGGAACCCCGAGUGCCCGUAUACGCGGGCUGUCCGGGUGUAUAAAAAGCAUCUGAAGAAAGGGCCGGGCAAGACCGGUGCCAGCCGCCGCGGUAAUACCGGCGGCUCGAGUGGUGACCACUUUUAUUGGGCUUAAAGCGUUCGUAGCUGGACUCUUAAGUCUCUUGGGAAAUCCCGCGGCUCAACCGUGGGGCGUUUAAGAGAUACUGGGAGUCUAGGAACCGGGAGAGGUAAGAGGUACUUCGGGGGUAGAAGUGAAAUUCUGUAAUCCUCGAGGGACCACCGAUGGCGAAGGCAUCUUACCAGAACGGCUUCGACAGUGAGGAACGAAAGCUGGGGGAGCGAACGGGAUUAGAUACCCCGGUAGUCCCAGCCGUAAACGAUGCGCGUUAGGUGUACUGGUGACCACGAGUCACUGGGGUGCCGAAGGGAAACCGUGAAACGUGCCGCCUGGGAAGUACGGUCGCAAGGCUGAAACUUAAAGGAAUUGGCGGGRGMRCMCMMCARCSGGUGGAGCCUGCGGUUUAAUUG
RNAcentral lists this ribosomal RNA (885 nucleotides) under uncultured Methanoplanus sp. RNAcentral describes it as "bacterial SSU rRNA". It matches the Rfam family "Archaeal small subunit ribosomal RNA", at positions 18 to 908 of the family's 1478-position model. The record is from RNAcentral. Lineage: Archaea; Methanobacteriati; Methanobacteriota; Methanomicrobia; Methanomicrobiales; Methanomicrobiaceae.